RNAcentral lists this transfer RNA (85 nucleotides) under Felis catus (domestic cat). It matches the Rfam family "tRNA". Rfam says of the family: Transfer RNA (tRNA) molecules are approximately 80 nucleotides in length. Their secondary structure includes four short double-helical elements and three loops (D, anti-codon, and T loops). The record is from Rfam by way of RNAcentral. Lineage: Eukaryota; Metazoa; Chordata; Mammalia; Carnivora; Felidae.
ACCUGUGUAGCUCAGUCAGUUGAGCGCCUGACUUUGGCUCAGGUCAUGAUCUCGCAGUGUGUGAGUUUGAGCCCCACAUCAGGCU